AUGCUUAAAGCAGAAACGACAUGGAACUCUGAUGUAGUGGGUAAUAAAGUCAGAGAAAUUCAAAUGCAAAACUACUUAAGGAAAAAAGAAUUGAAAGAGCGUCCGGAAAGUGAUUUGAGAGAAGGCUUACGACUAUACAAAGAAUCAGAACUGAUCCUGACCUUGAAGAAAAGCUGGAUGGUAGUGGCUGUGAAGCAACUAGAGAAAGGUCGUGUAUUGAGGAUUUUAGCUGCAGAAAUGUAG
Vicia faba (fava bean) is the source of this 243-nucleotide non-coding RNA. Lineage: Eukaryota; Viridiplantae; Streptophyta; Magnoliopsida; Fabales; Fabaceae. The record is from the annotation of a GenBank genome assembly.